This 60-nucleotide microRNA precursor is filed under the name Pediculus humanus corporis (human body louse). RNAcentral describes it as "microRNA mir-598". The record is from RNAcentral. Lineage: Eukaryota; Metazoa; Arthropoda; Insecta; Psocodea; Pediculidae.
UGAUGAUGAUGAUGAUGAUGAUGAUGAUGAUACCUAUCAUCAUCAUCAUCAUCGUUGGGU